AUUGGAUCCAUGAUGCUACUUUUACAAACUGCGUUAUCUAUCUGAACUUCUUCUUUUGAGGGAUUGAAGAUACUCUUCCAUGCUGAGAUCCAGU
Molecule: small nucleolar RNA, 94 nt
Filed under: Theobroma cacao (cacao)
Lineage: Eukaryota; Viridiplantae; Streptophyta; Magnoliopsida; Malvales; Malvaceae
Description: Small nucleolar RNA snoR27
Rfam family: Small nucleolar RNA snoR27
Source: Rfam by way of RNAcentral